GGGCGCACGGUGGAUGCCUUGACACUAGGAGUCGAUGAAGGACGGGACUAACGCCGAUAUGCUUCGGGGAGCUGUAAGUAAGCUUUGAUCCGAAGAUUUCCGAAUGGGGAAACCCACCAUACGUAAUGGUAUGGUAUCCUUAUCUGAAUACAUAGGGUAAGGAAGAUAGACCCAGGGAACUGAAACAUCUAAGUACCUGGAGGAAGAGAAAGCAAAUGCGAUUUCCUGAGUAGCGGCGAGCGAAACGGAACAUAGCCCAAACCAAGAGGCUUGCCUCUUGGGGUUGUAGGACAUUCUAUACGGAGUUACAAAGGAACGAGGUAGACGAAGCGACCUGGAAAGGUCCGUCGUAGAGGGUAACAACCCCGUAGUCGAAACUUCGUUCUCUCUUGAAUGUAUCCUGAGUACGGCGGAACACGUGAAAUUCCGUCGGAAUCUGGGAGGACCAUCUCCCAAGGCUAAAUACUCCCUAGUGAUCGAUAGUGAACCAGUACCGUGAGGGAAAGGUGAAAAGCACCCCGGAAGGGGAGUGAAAGAGAUCCUGAAACCGUGUGCCUACAAAUAGUCAGAGCCCGUUAACGGGUGAUGGCGUGCCUUUUGUAGAAUGAACCGGCGAGUUACGAUCCCGUGCGAGGUUAAGCUGAAGAGGCGGAGCCGCAGCGAAAGCGAGUCUGAAUAGGGCGUUUAGUACGUGGUCGUAGACCCGAAACCAGGUGAUCUACCCAUGUCCAGGGUGAAGUUCAGGUAACACUGAAUGGAGGCCCGAACCCACGCACGUUGAAAAGUGCGGGGAUGAGGUGUGGGUAGCGGAGAAAUUCCAAUCGAACCUGGAGAUAGCUGGUUCUCCCCGAAAUAGCUUUAGGGCUAGCCUUAAGUGUAAGAGUCUUGGAGGUAGAGCACUGAUUGGACUAGGGGUCCUCAUCGGAUUACCGAAUUCAGUCAAACUCCGAAUGCCAAUGACUUAUCCUUAGGAGUCAGACUGCGAGUGAUAAGAUCCGUAGUCAAAAGGGAAACAGCCCAGACCGCCAGCUAAGGUCCCAAAGUGUGUAUUAAGUGGAAAAGGAUGUGGAGUUGCUUAGACAACUAGGAUGUUGGCUUAGAAGCAGCCACCAUUUAAAGAGUGCGUAAUAGCUCACUAGUCGAGUGACUCUGCGCCGAAAAUGUACCGGGGCUAAAUACACCACCGAAGCUGCGGAUUGAUACCAAUGGUAUCAGUGGUAGGGGAGCGUUCUAAGGACAGUGAAGUCAGACCGGAAGGACUGGUGGAGUGCUUAGAAGUGAGAAUGCCGGUAUGAGUAGCGAAAGACGGGUGAGAAUCCCGUCCACCGAAUGCCUAAGGUUUCCUGAGGAAGGCUCGUCCGCUCAGGGUUAGUCAGGACCUAAGCCGAGGCCGACAGGCGUAGGCGAUGGACAACAGGUUGAUAUUCCUGUACCACCUCUUUAUCGUUUGAGCAAUGGAGGGACGCAGAAGGAUAGAAGAAGCGUGCGAUUGGUUGUGCACGUCCAAGCAGUUAGGCUGAUAAGUAGGCAAAUCCGCUUAUCGUGAAGGCUGAGCUGUGAUGGGGAAGCUCCUUAUGGAGCGAAGUCUUUGAUUCCCCGCUGCCAAGAAAAGCUUCUAGCGAGAUAAAAGGUGCCUGUACCGCAAACCGACACAGGUAGGCGAGGAGAGAAUCCUAAGGUGUGCGAGAGAACUCUGGUUAAGGAACUCGGCAAAAUGACCCCGUAACUUCGGGAGAAGGGGUGCUUUCUUAACGGAAAGCCGCAGUGAAUAGGCCCAAGCGACUGUUUAGCAAAAACACAGCUCUCUGCGAAGCCGUAAGGCGAAGUAUAGGGGGUGACACCUGCCCGGUGCUGGAAGGUUAAGGAGAGGGGUUAGCGUAAGCGAAGCUCUGAACUGAAGCCCCAGUAAACGGCGGCCGUAACUAUAACGGUCCUAAGGUAGCGAAAUUCCUUGUCGGGUAAGUUCCGACCCGCACGAAAGGUGUAACGAUUUGGGCACUGUCUCAACCAGAGACUCGGUGAAAUUAUAGUACCUGUGAAGAUGCAGGUUACCCGCGACAGGACGGAAAGACCCCGUGGAGCUUUACUGUAGCCUGAUAUUGAAUUUUGGUACAGUUUGUACAGGAUAGGCGGGAGCCAUUGAAACCGGAGCGCUAGCUUCGGUGGAGGCGCUGGUGGGAUACCGCCCUGACUGUAUUGAAAUUCUAACCUACGGGUCUUAUCGACCCGGGAGACAGUGUCAGGUGGGCAGUUUGACUGGGGCGGUCGCCUCCUAAAGUGUAACGGAGGCGCCCAAAGGUUCCCUCAGAAUGGUUGGAAAUCAUUCGUAGAGUGCAAAGGCAUAAGGGAGCUUGACUGCGAGACCUACAAGUCGAGCAGGGACGAAAGUCGGGCUUAGUGAUCCGGUGGUUCCGCAUGGAAGGGCCAUCGCUCAACGGAUAAAAGCUACCCCGGGGAUAACAGGCUUAUCUCCCCCAAGAGUCCACAUCGACGGGGAGGUUUGGCACCUCGAUGUCGGCUCAUCGCAUCCUGGGGCUGUAGUCGGUCCCAAGGGUUGGGCUGUUCGCCCAUUAAAGCGGUACGCGAGCUGGGUUCAGAACGUCGUGAGACAGUUCGGUCCCUAUCCGUCGUGGGCGUAGGAAAUUUGAGAGGAGCUGUCCUUAGUACGAGAGGACCGGGAUGGACGCACCGCUGGUGUACCAGUUGUUCUGCCAAGGGCAUAGCUGGGUAGCUAUGUGCGGAAGGGAUAAGUGCUGAAAGCAUCUAAGCAUGAAGCCCCCCUCAAGAUGAGAUUUCCCAUAGCGUAAGCUAGUAAGAUCCCUGAAAGAUGAUCAGGUUGAUAGGUUCGAGGUGGAAGCAUGGUGACAUGUGGAGCUGACGAAUACUAAUAGAUCGAGGACUUAACCAU
Molecule: ribosomal RNA, 2908 nt
Filed under: Bacillus cereus B4264
Lineage: Bacteria; Bacillati; Bacillota; Bacilli; Caryophanales; Bacillaceae
Description: bacterial LSU rRNA
Rfam family: Bacterial large subunit ribosomal RNA
Source: RNAcentral